This 72-nucleotide transfer RNA is filed under the name Drechslerella stenobrocha 248. RNAcentral describes it as "tRNA-Trp (CCA) (tRNA-Trp-CCA-1-1)". It matches the Rfam family "tRNA". From Rfam's summary of the family: Transfer RNA (tRNA) molecules are approximately 80 nucleotides in length. Their secondary structure includes four short double-helical elements and three loops (D, anti-codon, and T loops). Further hydrogen bonds mediate the characteristic L-shaped molecular structure. tRNAs have two regions of fundamental functional importance: the anti-codon, which is responsible for specific mRNA codon recognition, and the 3' end, to which the tRNAs corresponding amino acid is attached (by aminoacyl-tRNA synthetases). tRNAs cope with the degeneracy of the genetic code in two manners: having more than one tRNA (with a specific anti-codon) for a particular amino acid; and 'wobble' base-pairing, i.e. permitting non-standard base-pairing at the 3rd anti-codon position. RNAcentral also lists the same sequence under 1 other name. Lineage: Eukaryota; Fungi; Ascomycota; Orbiliomycetes; Orbiliales; Orbiliaceae. The record is from RNAcentral.
GACUGGUUGGCGCAACGGUAGCGCGUUCGACUCCAGAUCGAAAGGCUAGGCGUUCAAAUCGCCUACUGGUCA